This 198-nucleotide unclassified non-coding RNA is filed under the name soil metagenome. RNAcentral's name for it is "partial internal transcribed spacer 1". The record is from RNAcentral.
CCGAGUUUACAACUCCCAACCCAAUGUGAACGUUACCAAACUGUUGCCUCGGCGGGAUCUCUGCCCCGGGUGCGUCGCAGCCCCGGACCAAGGCGCCCGCCGGAGGACCAACCAAAACUCUUAUUGUAUACCCCCUCGCGGGUUUUUUACUAUCUGAGCCAUCUCGGCGCCCCUCGUGGGCGUUUCGAAAAUGAAUCA